AUUGAACGCUGGCGGCAUGCUUUACACAUGCAAGUCGAACGGCAGCACGGGGGCAACCCUGGUGGCGAGUGGCGAACGGGUGAGUAAAGCAUCGGUACGUGCCCUGGAGUGGGGGGAUAACGUAGCGAAAGUUACGCUAAUACCGCAUAUUCUGUGAGCAGGAAAGCAGGGGGAUCGCAAGACCUUGCGCUCUGGGAGCGGCCGAUGUCGGAUUAGCUAGUUGGUGGGGUAAAGGCCUACCAAGGCGACGAUCCGUAGCGGGUCUGAGAGGAUGAUCCGCCACACUGGGACUGAAACACGGCCCAGACUCCUACGGGAGGCAGCAGUGGGGAAUUUUGGACAAUGGGCGAAAGCCUGAUCCAGCCAUGCCGCGUGAGUGAAGAAGGCCU
RNAcentral lists this ribosomal RNA (389 nucleotides) under uncultured bacterium. RNAcentral's name for it is "bacterial SSU rRNA". It matches the Rfam family "Bacterial small subunit ribosomal RNA", at positions 29 to 417 of the family's 1533-position model. The record is from RNAcentral.